AACGAACGCUGGCGGCGCGCCUAAUACAUGCAAGUCGAGCGAGAAGACGUAGCAAUACGUUUGUAAAGCGGCGAACGGGUGAGGAAUACAUGGGUAACCUACCCUCGAGUGGGGAAUAACUAGCCGAAAGGUUAGCUAAUACCGCGUACGCUCCUUGGACUUCGGUUCAGGGAGGAAAGCGAUACCGUGGGUAUCGCGCUCUUGGAUGGGCUCAUGUCCUAUCAGCUUGUUGGUGAGGAACGGCUCACCAAGGCUUCGACGGGUAGCUGGUCUGAGAGGACGAUCAGCCACACUGGCACUGCGACACGGGCCAGACUCCUACGGGAGGCAGCAGUAAGGAAUAUUGCGCAAUGGGCGAAAGCCUGACGCAGCGACGCCGCGUGGGGGAUGAAGGUCUUCGGAUUGUAAACCCCUUUCGGGAGGGAAGAUGGAAUGGGUAACCAUUCGGACGGUACCUCCAGAAGCAGCCACGGCUAACUUCGUGCC
This 486-nucleotide ribosomal RNA is filed under the name uncultured bacterium. RNAcentral's name for it is "bacterial SSU rRNA". It matches the Rfam family "Bacterial small subunit ribosomal RNA", at positions 29 to 509 of the family's 1533-position model. The record is from RNAcentral.